UACGUAGGGGGCAAGCGUUGUCCGGAUUUAUUGGGCGUAAAGAGCGUGUAGGCGGUCAGGUAGGUCCGUUGUGAAAACUCGAGGCUCAACCUCGAGACGCCGAUGGAAACCAUCCGACUAGAGUCCGGAAGAGGAGAGUGGAAUUCCUGGUGUAGCGGUGAAAUGCGCAGAUAUCAGGAAGAACACCCGUGGCUAAGGCGGCUCUCUAGUACGGUACUGACGCUGAGACGCGAAAGCGUGGGGAGCGAACAGG
RNAcentral lists this ribosomal RNA (253 nucleotides) under uncultured bacterium. Its description in RNAcentral is "partial 16S ribosomal RNA". It matches the Rfam family "Bacterial small subunit ribosomal RNA", at positions 524 to 776 of the family's 1533-position model. The record is from RNAcentral.